GAUGAACGCUGGCGGCGUGCCUAAUACAUGCAAGUCGAGCGGCAGCACGGUCUUCGGACUGGUGGCGAGCGGCGGACGGCUGAGUAACGCGUAGGAACAUGCCCUAAAGUGAGGAAUAACUGCCCGAAAGGGGGGCUAAUGCCGCAUGUGCUCUUCGGAGUAAAGCUUUAUGCGCUUUAGGAGUGGCCUGCGUCCGAUUAGCUAGUUGGUGAGGUAAAUGCUCACCAAGGCGACGAUCGGUAGCUGGUCUGAGAGGAUGAUCAGCCAGACUGGAACUGAGAACGGUCCAGACUCCUACGGGAGGCAGCAGUAGGGAAUUUUCCACAAUGGGCGAGAGCCUGAUGGAGCAACGCCGCGUGCAGGAUGAAUGCCUUCGGGUUGUAAACUGCUUUUAUGUGCGAAGAAUUUGACUGUAACACAUGAAUAAGGACCGGCUAAUUCCGUGCCAGCAGCCGCCGUAA
RNAcentral lists this ribosomal RNA (461 nucleotides) under uncultured bacterium. RNAcentral's name for it is "partial 16S ribosomal RNA". It matches the Rfam family "Bacterial small subunit ribosomal RNA", at positions 28 to 523 of the family's 1533-position model. The record is from RNAcentral.